This 24-nucleotide non-coding RNA is filed under the name Rattus norvegicus (Norway rat). The record is from RNAcentral. Lineage: Eukaryota; Metazoa; Chordata; Mammalia; Rodentia; Muridae.
UGUAGUUCUUUGAGAACACUGGGG